AUACGGAGGGUGCAAGUGUUAUCCGGAUUUACUGGGUUUAAAGGGUGCGUAGGUGGAUAGAUAAGUCAGUGGUGAAAUCUCCCGACUUAAUUGGGAAAUUGCCAUUGAUACUAUUUGUCUUGAGUAUGGUUGAGGUGGAUGGAAUGUGUCAUGUAGCGGUGAAAUGCAUAGAUAUGACACGGAACACCAAUUGCGAAGGCAGUUCACUAAACCAUUACUGACGCUGAGGCACGAAAGCGUGGGUAGCGAACAGGAUUAGAAACCCCGGUAGUCC
RNAcentral lists this ribosomal RNA (274 nucleotides) under uncultured bacterium. RNAcentral describes it as "partial 16S ribosomal RNA". It matches the Rfam family "Bacterial small subunit ribosomal RNA", at positions 523 to 796 of the family's 1533-position model. The record is from RNAcentral.